RNAcentral lists this ribosomal RNA (857 nucleotides) under Bacillus halotolerans. RNAcentral's name for it is "bacterial SSU rRNA". It matches the Rfam family "Bacterial small subunit ribosomal RNA", at positions 24 to 862 of the family's 1533-position model. The record is from RNAcentral. Lineage: Bacteria; Bacillati; Bacillota; Bacilli; Caryophanales; Bacillaceae.
UCAGGACGAACGCUGGCGGCGUGCCUAAUACAUGCAAGUCGAGCGGACAGAUGGGAGCUUGCUCCCUGAUGUUAGCGGCGGACGGGUGAGUAACACGUGGGUAACCUGCCUGUAAGACUGGGAUAACUCCGGGAAACCGGGGCUAAUACCGGAUGCUUGUUUGAACCGCAUGGUUCAAACAUAAAAGGUGGCUUCGGCUACCACUUACAGAUGGACCCGCGGCGCAUUAGCUAGUUGGUGAGGUAAUGGCUCACCAAGGCAACGAUGCGUAGCCGACCUGAGAGGGUGAUCGGCCACACUGGGACUGAGACACGGCCCAGACUCCUACGGGAGGCAGCAGUAGGGAAUCUUCCGCAAUGGACGAAAGUCUGACGGAGCAACGCCGCGUGAGUGAUGAAGGUUUUCGGAUCGUAAAGCUCUGUUGUUAGGGAAGAACAAGUACCGUUCGAAUAGGGCGGUACCUUGACGGUACCUAACCAGAAAGCCACGGCUAACUACGUGCCAGCAGCCGCGGUAAUACGUAGGUGGCAAGCGUUGUCCGGAAUUAUUGGGCGUAAAGGGCUCGCAGGCGGUUCCUUAAGUCUGAUGUGAAAGCCCCCGGCUCAACCGGGGAGGGUCAUUGGAAACUGGGGAACUUGAGUGCAGAAGAGGAGAGUGGAAUUCCACGUGUAGCGGUGAAAUGCGUAGAGAUGUGGAGGAACACCAGUGGCGAAGGCGACUCUCUGGUCUGUAACUGACGCUGAGGAGCGAAAGCGUGGGGAGCGAACAGGAUUAGAUACCCUGGUAGUCCACGCCGUAAACGAUGAGUGCUAAGUGUUAGGGGGUUUCCGCCCCUUAGUGCUGCAGCUAACGCAUAA